This 477-nucleotide ribosomal RNA is filed under the name Stygocapitella sp. 169_35. RNAcentral describes it as "partial large subunit ribosomal RNA". It matches the Rfam family "Bacterial large subunit ribosomal RNA", at positions 1797 to 2626 of the family's 2925-position model. Lineage: Eukaryota; Metazoa; Annelida; Polychaeta; Parergodrilidae. The record is from RNAcentral.
CGCCUGUUUAUCAAAAACAUAGCCUAUAACUUAACUUUAGGUACAACCCUGCCCUCUGAAAUUUUAACAGCCGCGGUAUCCUAACCGUGCUAAGGUAGCAUAAUCAUUUGCCUAUUAAUUAUAGGCUAGCAUGAACGGGAUCACUCACUUAAAUUUAUUUUCACUACAAUUAAAAUUAAACUUUAAGUUAAAAUACUAAAUUUUUAAGAAAGACAAAAAGACCCUGAAAACUAUUAGAAGAUAAUUAGUUGGGGCAACUAUAGACCAUAAACAGCGUCUAUUAAAAUUCGAAUUUUAAAAUUCAAAGCACACAGUUACUUCAGGGAUAACAGACUAAUUGUAUUAUUUAGACCUAAUAAAUAAUAAAGAUUGGCACCUCGAUGUUGGCUUAUAAUUCCUUCAUAUAGUAACAUAUAUUGAUGGCAGCUUGUUCAUCUGAUAAAUAUUUACAUGAGCUGAGUUCAGACCGGCGUAAGC